AUUUUGUGAAUUAAAAAAUGUUGCAGAUUCUUUUUUUUUCCCUCAGAAAUAAAUGUGGGGAUGUAUGUAGUUGCAGCUUCACAGGCUGCCAUCGUGGCAUUGUAAAGACCAUUUUUAACUCUUCCAAGUAGUGGAAAUGUAAGAUGUGAGCAAUAGCAACACAAGGAAUAUGCUCCUCAAAACUCACAUGGAGUAAAUCCAGGAGAGCUGCAGCUCCAAACACUUGAGGAAAUUGGAUACCUCAUUAUUCCAGGGAGCUUGUGGAAGUGUUUGUGUCUGUUUGUGUGCACAGUGAACAAUGCCAUGGACUAUUCACUGGAGUGAUAAAUUGUGCUUACUCCCAUGUCAGAACAGGUAAGAGAACUGAUGUUCUUCCUAAGAUGGCAACUAAUGUCUUUUGCAAGGGAAUGUAAUUUCCUUAAUGACUAUCUGAAUUCUGGAAAAGAAGGAUUUCUGUAAAGAACUGGGAGAAAGAGUUUCAGCCCUUUUUAACCUGGAGGCCUUCAGCCCAGUCCACCAUGGAUCACCUCAAGAGAUAUUAGUUAUUUUUUGUGAGGAAAAAGAGGGAAAGAGUGAAAACAAUGAGUUCCGAUUAGAUGCUAGGAUAAACAAAGAGUGAAGCCAAAACAAAACAAGAAAACCUUUUAUCAUCUGUCUUUGAGCAUGAGCUCUGAGCUGGACUGCUUUCAGAGUUUUUUGUAUUAUUCUGUCUGAUGCAAAGAUUUUCUACAUGGCUCCAUUCCAAUCUCCAGUGCAUGUCUGACAAACUGAUUUGAAGAUCUACAUUUGGUGAUAAAAGUCACAAAGCAAAAAGCAAAUAGUGAGAGAUCAGUAGUGAAGUGUGGAAAGCUGCAUUUUUUUGAGGAAGAAACCACAUUUUUCUCUGUUCUGUGAGACAGCAGCCAAUUGUGCUCAGCAGAGUGUUGAAGCCCAGGAGAAGAGGCAAGCACAGCUCCUUUCUUCAUCACCACAAAAAAUAUUUCUUUUUCAAAUCCAUAUCCUGGUCUAAAUCCAGAUUGUUACCUAAAUCCAGAAGGUUACCAGCUAGAAGUAUUUGUCCAUAUUUUCUGCAGGUUUCCUUCAGGAAAGAGAUUUUGGAUGUGGAGGCAGUGUUUGGCUGGGACUGCUGCAUCCAGGCCAGGCUUUCAGAUCCAGCCAGAGCAGCUGUAUUUAGAAGAUGAAAGGAAGAAACCUUCUGCCAAUGCAGAUCUGGCACUUACCAUUUGUCAUUUUUUACAAGCAAGAGAGAAUUUCACAAGCCUAAUAGUGGGACUCCAUUAAAAUAACUGAAACUUCUUGCUGAGUGAAUGUACCAAAUUUUUGAAUGCAGGGAUUUGUCUUGACCUACUGAAUUUAUUUAUUUUAUUGACCAUUUUUUCUCUUCUCUUUUAUUUUGAAAUUUCUGUUUUGGGAAUAUUUAGCUUCUGCUUUUAAAAACAAUAUAAUUUUAAUGACAUUUAUUUCAGCAGUUGUAUUUAUUUCUGUUUGAAGAUAUUUGUUUUUAUUAAAAAAUGAACUUUUGGUAUAUGCUGCAUACUUUAAGGGAAAAAAGGUAUACAUAUAAAGUUCCUUGGAAAAUUAUUGAUUGUUCAGAAAAAUAAUUGAUCUUUUAGCAUUUUGGAGAAGUUUCAUGGUGUUGGUUUCCAGGUUUAUAUUUUUUAAGAGCUUUAAAGGAAUUGUCUUUCUAAACCUCAGCUAAUUCCUGUUCACUUUAGAGGUUGCUAG
Long non-coding RNA from Serinus canaria (Common canary), 1725 nucleotides. RefSeq lists it as uncharacterized. The record is from RefSeq and is a predicted model, not a curated record. Lineage: Eukaryota; Metazoa; Chordata; Aves; Passeriformes; Fringillidae. The transcript is spliced from 7 exons.